Molecule: ribosomal RNA, 500 nt
Filed under: uncultured bacterium
Lineage: Bacteria
Description: bacterial SSU rRNA
Rfam family: Bacterial small subunit ribosomal RNA
Source: RNAcentral
AUGGCUCAGGAUGAACGCUGGCGGCGUGCCUAACACAUGCAAGUCGAACGGGAACCUUACAGUGGAGACUUCGGUCAAAGCAGUAAGAAUUCUAGUGGCGGAUGGGUGAGUAACGCGUGGGUAACCUACCUACAAGAAUUGGAUAACAGCAAGAAAUUGUUGCUAAUACAAUAUAAGCUUACAGUAUCGCAUGAUACAGUGAGAAAAGAUUUAUCGCUUGUAGAUGGACCCGCGUUUGAUUAGCCAGUUGGUGGGGUAGAGGCCUACCAAAGCGACGAUCAAUAGCCGGCCUGAGAGGGUGAACGGCCACAUUGGGACUGAGACACGGCCCAAACUCCUACGGGAGGCAGCAGUGGGGAAUAUUGCACAAUGGGGGAAACCCUGAUGCCAGCAACGCCGCGUGAGUGAAGAAGUAUUUCGGUAUGUAAAGCUCUAUCGAUAGGGAAUAAGAUGAAGGUACCUAAGUAAGAAGCCCCGGCUAACUACGUGCCAGCCGCAGC